Camellia sinensis is the source of this 2651-nucleotide non-coding RNA. The record is from RefSeq and is a predicted model, not a curated record. NCBI's taxonomy places the organism in Eukaryota, Viridiplantae, Streptophyta, Magnoliopsida, Ericales, Theaceae.
UUUAUAUUUUUCACUCUAUGUGUAUGUUUCUCUAUCUCUAUCUCUAUCUCUCUUCCCCCAAUUUCGGCCUCUAGGUUUUUUUUUGUUCCAUUCGCACUACCCACACACCACCAUUGACGAAUGAUUGGAAUUUUGAUUUUUUUUUUAAUGAUAUGAUGAUCUUGAUUCAUGGAUUCAAAAUGUCAAAUGGGGUUUAUUAAUAUUGUAUUUUAGUUGUGUUUUUAUACAAUGCUUCACACAUGUUUGCAUAAAUUCUCCACUCAAACUACAUAUUAUUUUCCUACCUCUGUUUAUUUUGGUUAAUUUCACUCACUAUCUUCUUUGACUAUUUUAGUACCAUUAAAAAGGAAAAAGAGAUGUGAUUGUUUAGAUUGUUAUUUGUGAUGUUUCCAAUGGAGUUCCUUUUGAAUUGACCAUGUAAUCUGGUUGUAUUAUUGAUGUAGGAGCCCCUCAAAGUUUCUAGACUUCUCAAGGAAAUUAUUAAAGUUUCUUCUGUAUAUCAUCACUCCUCUACCAUUACAAGUUCAUAUUUCUUGCUGGAUACUUCAUUUUUCAUGGUUUCAUGGGGCCCGAGAAUAUUUAGAUGUUUUUCAAUCUAUAUUCACUAUUCAAGCUACUUUAUAGAGUAUUACAGUUAACAUCUAAUCAGUGUUUUAAGCUUGUGUCUUGUUAAUAUUAUUUUUAACUCCAUUUCAUUCCACAAUGUAAAAUGCUACAUAUGCAAAUUAAAUCUAUUUUCUAGUUUCGGUUUUUGACUUCCCAUUUAUUCAAGUCUACUUUAACACUUAACAGCUACACAUCUUUGAUUAUUAAAUUAUUGUUGUAUCUCUUAAUGCCUGAUGGAUUCCUGUCACAGGAGUCAUGAUUCUUGUUCAACUUAUCAGAGAAGAUCUUGAAAAUUUUAUGUACAUUUGGAAAGUGUUAUAGUCCUUCUAUAACAUAUAUUGUCUAGGUAAAAGCUUUAAAGCAAUCUUUCCACAAGUGAUGGCACUGAUUAUUGCACUAGAAUGUGAUGGCACUUGACUUUUAAAUAGGAAGUUCCUACUGUUUCUGAAUUUUAUUUUUUUUAUUCUUUUUAUUUAUUUAUUUAUUUAUUUUUAUUUUUUUGAGUUUUUUUGUGAUGGGACUUAAUGCUUGAUUUGGUUUUCUGAGUUAUUUUGUAGCCAAGAAAUUAUCCAGGUCACUUGGUUUUGUAGAUACAAAUUGGUUUGUAUCCAAUUACCAUAUAUUAAAUAUCUUGAGAUGUACAAUUGUUCCGAUUGAGGAUUCUGUAUAUCAAGGCACCAUCUAUGUUGUUUAUGCAUAUGGAUCAACAAAGGAUUUGCUUCCACCAGAAGCCCAAAAUGUGCUAAGUUUGUCUGAAGAGAGGGUAGUAAAAAUCUUAAGGCCAGUUGGGACAGCAUUUCAGCAAAUGAUUCAACGGUUGGUUCCCAUCUCAAAAUUUUUUAGUGGUAUAAGGCAUUUUAGUGUUUCACUGUUGGUUGUUGGCUUUCAUGACAAGGGUCCACAACUAUAUCAGGAAGAAGAGGGCUGCAAGUCUUGAGGGUUGAUCUGUUGGACUAAUAUGGUGAUUCCUUAGUGCUAGCAUGUCCAAUAUUGGAUGCAGGCUGCAAGUCCUGGGUUAGUUCUUAUUUUGCAGUGCUAGCUGAUGAGGAGUGUUCCUAUUUUUCAUCAGUCUUAUGAGUCUUUAUUUGUUUGAUAUGCUCAUCAGUCCUGGGUCCAAUAUUGGCCCAUUCUUUUUUUGUGCCUGCUAUGCUCAUUUGUAGAUUGCUGAUCUGAUAUGGCUGCUAAAUCUGAUCUGGUGGUCUGCGAAGGGUAGGACUGUAUCAGUAAUGGUGGUUGUCUAAUUUGGAUCAAAUCUGGUGGUCUGCAUUUGUUUGAUUGGCAGUGCUUGUUAGGUGGAGUUCAGGGCAACAGAGGUUCAAUGCUGGUGUGAUGAUAAUGGGAGGAUUGGUUUGAUGUGUGGCUUGCUGCUGGUAUUGGGUUUUGUUUGAUUGGUUAUGUAGGUCUUCACAAGAGAGUUAGCAGAUUGGUUUCAUCAGUCUUAUGGGUCUUUUGGUUCAUCAGUCCAUAUCUGGUGUGCUGGUGCUCAUGGUAGCAUCAUCACAGAUUCAAGUGUCUUGUUUCCUCACCAAUGGAAUUGGGGGACCUUCAUGAGAAUGAAAGCAGAUUGGCUGCACAACUCUGCUUCAUUGUUUGAGAGUUAGCCAUCAGGUAUUAUUUGGGAGGAGAAGGUUGCAAAGUCUGGGUGGGUGACAAUAGGAAGAGCCGAUGACUUGAUCUGUGAAUGCUAAACUGAUAUUUUGGUCUGCCAUGGUGUUAUGUUAGGCUGCUAUGUUGGGCUGGUAUAUGGUCAUGAUCUGAAUUGGCAGUGCUUGUUUUGUUUGAUUUCUUCUUUGGGUUUUGUUUGAUUGGUCCCUCACCAAUCUUGGAUAAGUGCUAGCAGAUGAUUGUACUUCCUUUGCAGUGCCAACUUAGUUGGGAUUAUUCAGGUUUGCUUUGAUGCUUUCUGCACUUCCCUUCUUUGUUGUUGUAAUUUCGCAUGUACUAUGCUUUUUCAUCAAUAAAGUUUCGUUUUUUUGCUGAUCCAAAAAAAAAAAAAUGUUGUUUUUAGAAAAUUCUUGUACAAAUAAUAUUUAUUAUAUUUUAGA